RNAcentral lists this ribosomal RNA (429 nucleotides) under Pseudomonadota bacterium. RNAcentral's name for it is "Proteobacteria bacterium partial 16S ribosomal RNA". It matches the Rfam family "Bacterial small subunit ribosomal RNA", at positions 355 to 776 of the family's 1533-position model. The record is from RNAcentral. Lineage: Bacteria; Pseudomonadati; Pseudomonadota.
UGGGGAAUAUUGGACAAUGGGCGAAAGCCUGAUCCAGCCAUGCCGCGUGUGUGAAGAAGGUCUUCGGAUUGUAAAGCACUUUAAGUUGGGAGGAAGGGCAGUAAGCGAAUACCUUGCUGUUUUGACGUUACCGACAGAAUAAGCACCGGCUAACUCUGUGCCAGCAGCCGCGGUAAUACAGAGGGUGCAAGCGUUAAUCGGAAUUACUGGGCGUAAAGCGCGCGUAGGUGGUUCGUUAAGUUUAAUGUGAAAGCCCCGGGCUCAACCCGGGAACUGCAUCCAAAACAGGCUAGCUAGAGUAGGGCAGGAGGUGGUGGAAUUUCCUGUGUAGGGGUGAAAUGCGUAGAUAUAGGAAGGAACACCAGGGGCGAAGGCGACCACCUGGGCUCAUACUGACACUGAGGUGCGAAAACGUGGGGAGCAAACAGG